This 771-nucleotide ribosomal RNA is filed under the name uncultured bacterium. RNAcentral describes it as "bacterial SSU rRNA". It matches the Rfam family "Bacterial small subunit ribosomal RNA", at positions 8 to 796 of the family's 1533-position model. The record is from RNAcentral.
AGAGUUUGAUCAUGGCUCAGAAUGAACGUUGGCGGCGUGGAUUAGGCAUGCAAGUCGCACGCUUUAUGUAGCAAUACAUGAAGAGUGGCGUAAGGGAGAGUAAUGCAUGGUUAGCUACCCUCGGGACUGGGAUAGCGGCGGGAAACUGCCGGUAAUACCAGAUGACAUCUUCGGAUCAAACGUGUAAAUCGGCCCGAGGAGGCGACCAUGUCCUAUCAGCUAGUUGGCGGUGUAACGGACCACCAAGGCUAAGACGGGUAUGGGGCGUGAGAGCGUGCCCCCACUCACUGGGACUGAGACACUGCCCAGACACCUACGGGUGGCUGCAGUCGAGAAUCUUCGGCAAUGGGCGCAAGCCUGACCGAGCGACGCCGCGUGCGGGAUGAAGGCCUUCGGGUUGUAAACCGCUGUCGUAGGGGAGGAAGGUCUGGUGUAUAGCCAGGCUUGACCGAUCCUAGGAGGAAGGGCCGGCUAAUCUCGUGCCAGCAGCCGCGGUAAUACGAGAGGCCCAAACGUUAUUCGGAAUUACUGGGCUUAAAGAGUUCGUAGGCGGUAUGACAAGUAGGGUGUGAAAGCCCUCGGCUUAACCGAGGAAUUGCGCUCUAAACUGUCGUACUUGAGGAAGCUAGAGGUGAGCAGAACUGAUGGUGGAGCGGUGAAAUGCGUUGAUAUCAUCAGGAAUACCGGAGGCGAAGGCGGCUCACUGGGGCUUUUCUGACGCUGAGGAACGAAAGCCAGGGUAGCGAACGGGAUUAGAUACCCCCGUAGUCC